Long non-coding RNA from Zea mays, 169 nucleotides. RefSeq lists it as uncharacterized. NCBI's taxonomy places the organism in Eukaryota, Viridiplantae, Streptophyta, Magnoliopsida, Poales, Poaceae. The transcript has 3 exons. The record is from RefSeq and is a predicted model, not a curated record.
UUCUUGCAGAAUCUGCUUUGACAUGCCAUCUGUCAGCACUUACUAUUAGGGAAUCAAAUGAUAGCACUGUAGAAGCGUGUGGGUUACCAUUUGCUGAAGAUCUCACUGGCAUUGAUUCUGUCCAUCUCGCUGGAGAGGGUCCUGAUGCUGAAUCACUUGAAGGUUCUUU